GACGAACGCUGGCGGCGUGCCUAACACAUGCAAGUCGAACGGGAUCCACGCCAUGAAGUUUUCGGAUGGAUUGGUGUGGUGAGAGUGGCGAACGGGCGAGUAACGCGUGAGCAACCUACCUCGUACUGGGGGAUAACGUCGGGAAACCGGCGCUAAUACCGCAUAAGACUACGAUGCCGCAUGGCAAUGUAGUCAAAGCUCCGGCGGUACGAGACGGGCUCGCGUCCGAUUAGCUAGUUGGUAGGGUAAUGGCCUACCAAGGCGACGAUCGGUAGCCGGACUGAGAGGUCGGCCGGCCGCAUUGGGACUGAGACACGGCCCAGACUCCUACGGGAGGCAGCAGUGGGGAAUAUUGCGCAAUGGGGGAAACCCUGACGCAGCGACGCCGCGUGAAGGAAGAAGGCCUUCGGGUUGUAAACUUCUUUGAUCGGGGACGAAGGAAGACGGUACCCGAGGAACAAGCCACGGCUAACUACGUG
RNAcentral lists this ribosomal RNA (479 nucleotides) under uncultured organism. Its description in RNAcentral is "bacterial SSU rRNA". It matches the Rfam family "Bacterial small subunit ribosomal RNA", at positions 28 to 507 of the family's 1533-position model. The record is from RNAcentral.